GAUGAACGCUGGCGGCGUGCCUAAUACAUGCAAGUCGAGCGAACAGACGAGGAGCUUGCUCCUCUGACGUUAGCGGCGGACGGGUGAGUAACACGUGGAUAACCUACCUAUAAGACUGGGAUAACUUCGGGAAACCGGAGCUAAUACCGGAUAAUAUAUUGAACCGCAUGGCUCAAUAGUGAAAGACGGUUUUGCUGUCACUUAUAGAUGGAUCCGCGCCGCAUUAGCUAGUUGGGAAGGUAACGGCUUACCAAGGCAACGAUGCGUAGCCGACCUGAGAGGGUGAUCGGACACACUGGAACUGAGGAACGGUCCAGACUCCUACGGGAGGCAGCAGUAGGGAAUCUUCCGCAAUGGGCGAAAGCCUGACGGAGCAACGCCGCGUGAGUGAUGAAGGUCUUCGGAUCGUAAAACUCUGUUAUUAGGGAAGAACAAAUGUGUAAGUAACUAUGCACGUCUUGACGGUACCUAAUCAGAAAGCCACGGCUAACUACGUG
Molecule: ribosomal RNA, 497 nt
Filed under: uncultured bacterium
Lineage: Bacteria
Description: partial 16S ribosomal RNA
Rfam family: Bacterial small subunit ribosomal RNA
Source: RNAcentral